RNAcentral lists this ribosomal RNA (427 nucleotides) under uncultured bacterium. RNAcentral's name for it is "partial 16S ribosomal RNA". It matches the Rfam family "Bacterial small subunit ribosomal RNA", at positions 355 to 774 of the family's 1533-position model. The record is from RNAcentral.
UGGGGAAUAUUGCACAAUGGGCGCACGCCUGAUGCAGCCAUGCCGCGUGUAUGAAGAAGGCCUUCGGGUUGUAAAGUACUUUCAGCGGGGAGGAAGGGAGUAAAGUUAAUACCUUUGCUCAUUGACGUUACCCGCAGAAGAAGCACCGGCUAACUCCGUGCCAGCCGCCGCGGUAAUACGGAGGGUGCAACCGUUAAUCGGAAUUACUGGGCGUAAAGCGCACGCAGGCGGUUUGUUAAGUCAGAUGUGAAAUCCCCGGGCUCAACCUGGGAACUGCAUCUGAUACUGGCAAGCUUGAGUCUCGUAGAGGGGGGUAGAAUUCCAGGUGUAGCGGUGAAAUGCGUAGAGAUCUGGAGGAAUACCGGUGGCGAAGGCGGCCCCCUGGACGAAGACUGACGCUCAGGUGCGAAAGCGUGGGGAGCAAACA